RNAcentral lists this unclassified non-coding RNA (243 nucleotides) under plant metagenome. Its description in RNAcentral is "partial contains small subunit ribosomal RNA and internal transcribed spacer 1". The stretch from base 1 to 46 matches the Rfam family "Eukaryotic small subunit ribosomal RNA", at positions 1786 to 1831 of the family's 1831-position model. The record is from RNAcentral.
AAGUCGUAACAAGGUCUCCGUUGGUGAACCAGCGGAGGGAUCAUUACAGAGUUAUCCAACUCCCAAACCCAUGUGAACUUACCUUUGUUGCCUCGGCAGAAGCUACCUGCACCUACCUGGAACAGCCUACCUGAAGCGAUCCGGGCUGGCCUACCUGGACCGGUCUGGUGGUCGACUGCCGGUGGACCAUUCAACUCUUGUUAUUUUAUUGUAAUCUGAGCGUCUUAUUUUAAUAAGUCAAAA